RNAcentral lists this unclassified non-coding RNA (1008 nucleotides) under Yarrowia lipolytica. Lineage: Eukaryota; Fungi; Ascomycota; Dipodascomycetes; Dipodascales. The record is from RNAcentral.
CUCUCAAGGCCGGUAUCUUAGGACUCAGGAACCUGAAUCACCAGGCAGUGAGUCUCAAAGAGGCACCGUCUCCUCGGUUUAUCCGAGAGGACACGCCCGCGAAACAGAAUGUUUUCUACCAUUUUGGUUCGGAGUUACUCCCUGUGUAAUACGGCGAAGACGCCCAUCCCGCCCUCCGUCUCUUGAAAUCGAACUGGUUCGCCAUCUAUAACUGGCGGUAGCACCGUUUCUGCUCCCACAUUUUGGACAUUGGUCUUCAUAUCCUUGCUCAGAAGGACACGAAGAGCUGAACCGCGCCCUGGAGCCGCGUCUGUCGUGGAAAGGAGGCGUUUAGCCAUCUGCUCGUCCUUCGCACACCCAUGCUGGAAGAUCCCCGCGGGCUCCAUAACUGAGUCUCUGAUUAAGUACCGUUUUGAUCCGAUCCCUCUUAGGUCUGCACGGGCAAUGGCUGACUGGCGCAAUCACUUCACCGUCAUGAAGAACAAGCACUGGUUGGCCCUUCUCCCUGAGGCGUGAGACCGUGGGCACGCACUAUGGCCCAAAGCCACCAAUUUUUUGAGCAAACAUUACGGGGCUGCGACUAGAUGUGCCGAAACGCUCCACAUGCUUCGACUAUGUUGUCUGCCUGUCGUCAGACAUCCUUCCCAGGCAACGGUUUUCAAGUACCGGGGCCUGGUUGCGUUUUACCAGUUGCAACGAACUCAUGUCACACGGACACCAUUGCCGGGAUGACCACGUCUACCACAUGCCACACGACUUUUUAAGUCAUCUAUUUUAACGACUACAGUUUCUUCGUUUCUCAGCAGCACAAUAUGGCAGUGUCUGAUACGACUACUUCUUAUUUGCUUUGUUUGAUUGUUGAUAUAUUUAUCCGGUCAAGAGAUGGAACAGGAAGGAUACGUGAGCUACCGAACAGCAUGUCAUGCGUCUUCUGAACAACCGAAUCCGAAUCCGCAUUGCGGGUAUAACAUUGCUAAUAUGAUUCAAGUAGCUGAAAUGUAUCUCCCU